RNAcentral lists this ribosomal RNA (505 nucleotides) under uncultured bacterium. RNAcentral's name for it is "partial 16S ribosomal RNA". It matches the Rfam family "Bacterial small subunit ribosomal RNA", at positions 36 to 507 of the family's 1533-position model. The record is from RNAcentral.
UCCUCCCUCUGUCUGCGUGCCUAAUACAUGCAAGUAGAACGCACAGUUUAUACCGUAGCUUGCUACACCAUAGACUGUGAGUUGCGAACGGGUGAGUAACGCGUAGGUAACCUGCCUGGUAGCGGGGGAUAACUAUUGGAAACGAUAGCUAAUACCGCAUAAUAUUGAUUAUUGCAUGAUAAUUGAUUGAAAGAUGCUAUUGCAUCACUACCAGAUGGACCUGCGUUGUAUUAGCUAGUAGGUGAGGUAACGGCUCACCUAGGCGACGAUACAUAGCCGACCUGAGAGGGUGAUCGGCCACACUGGGACUGAGACACGGCCCAGACUCCUACGGGAGGCAGCAGUAGGGAAUCUUCGGCAAUGGACGAAAGUCUGACCGAGCAACGCCGCGUGAGUGAAGAAGGUUUUCGGAUCGUAAAGCUCUGUUGUAAGAGAAGAACGGGUGUGAGAGUGGAAAGUUCACACUGUGACGGUAUCUUACCAGAAAGGGACGGCUAACUACGUG